Molecule: non-coding RNA, 91 nt
Filed under: bovine gut metagenome
Source: RNAcentral
AAUCACAAGGGGAGCUUGUAGACAGGCUGAGAGGAAGGCGAUUGAGCCUUCGACCCGUAACCUGAUUUGGAUAAUGCCAACGUAGGGAAAU